CGCCGAUAUGCUUCGGGGAGCUGUAAGUAAGCUUUGAUCCGAAGAUUUCCGAAUGGGGAAACCCACCAUACGUAAUGGUAUGGUAUCCUUAUCUGAAUACAUAGGGUAAGGAAGACAGACUCAGGGAACUGAAACAUCUAAGUACCUGGAGGAAGAGAAAGCAAAUGCGAUUUCCUGAGUAGCGGCGAGCGAAACGGAACAUAGCCCAAACCAAGAGGCUUGCCUCUUGGGGUUGUAGGAC
Molecule: ribosomal RNA, 241 nt
Filed under: Bacillus anthracis (anthrax bacterium)
Lineage: Bacteria; Bacillati; Bacillota; Bacilli; Caryophanales; Bacillaceae
Description: partial 23S ribosomal RNA
Rfam family: Bacterial large subunit ribosomal RNA
Source: RNAcentral